Molecule: long non-coding RNA, 247 nt
Organism: Alligator sinensis (Chinese alligator)
Lineage: Eukaryota; Metazoa; Chordata; Crocodylia; Alligatoridae
Exons: 3
Source: RefSeq, a predicted model, not a curated record
GCCAAUGAUGUCACCUACAAGAGGCUGAAAAAAGCUUUAAAUACAUUAAGCCAGUAUCACUCUGGUCCAGCAUUCAAUCUUAUUGAUGUCCUCUUCUUUUCCUCUGAUCCAAGUCCACCGAGUGAAACACUCGCUGUCUCUCGAUUUACUUUGUGAGUGGCACUCUGAGAUCACUGCCAAAUGCAGCCUCUUCAAUGUUCCUUGACUAAGCAUGGAAACCAACAGUUUUCCCCCAAUGCAGUUUGUC